This 258-nucleotide ribosomal RNA is filed under the name uncultured bacterium. RNAcentral describes it as "partial 16S ribosomal RNA". It matches the Rfam family "Bacterial small subunit ribosomal RNA", at positions 57 to 305 of the family's 1533-position model. The record is from RNAcentral.
GCAAGUCGAACGAAGGAUUUAAGGAAGCUUGCUUUCUUUUAUUACUUAGUGGCAAACGGGUGAGUAAUGCAUAAGUAAUCUGCCUUUAAGCUCGGGACAACUUCUCGAAAGGGGAGCUAAUACCGGAUGUGCUCUUUGAAUCGAAUGGUUUAAAGAGGAAAGGUUUACCACUUAAAGAGGAGCUUAUGUCUGAUUAGCUAGUUGGUAGGGUAAUGGCCUACCAAGGCGAUGAUCAGUAGCUGGUCUGAGAGGAUGAUC